This 623-nucleotide small RNA is filed under the name Histoplasma ohiense. Its description in RNAcentral is "hypothetical lncRNA". The record is from RNAcentral. Lineage: Eukaryota; Fungi; Ascomycota; Eurotiomycetes; Onygenales; Ajellomycetaceae.
AACAUAACCACAAGUCGCUGGCAGUCACAUUCGCUUCCCAUUACCUAAUGGAUUCUCUGGCUGAUGCUAUUUCUUCGAGUUCUCACGCAACGGUGGUCCUCCUGAUGCGGCUGAGGAGUAACAUCACAUCAGUUGACAUAUGUUCAAUUUCCCCUCAGUUGAAACCGUGAAUUGAUUCCGCUUUCAGUGUGAGGAUCCGUUCCAAUCAUUUUGCAGAGAUGAAAGAUAGUCCGUUGGCCCAGUCAAGUUCUUUUGAUGUGGUGGCUAGGUAUGCUGUUACGACUGAUGGCCACGCAGAUUUCAGCAGUUGAGCUGCAUUAAAGGGAUAUUCUAUUCGGUCACGCAUUAUUGGAAACCGCCCGCCAAACGCGUUUCCAUCAGGCUUCAAAAGACCGGACUUUUGGAAACCUAUGAAUACCAUUAUUGUCUUACUCAUAGUCGCACUCUUGGUGUGUUGGAAAUGGAGCUGGCUCGAAUUCUUGGUUGUGUGACCAGUGUGCUUGAAACACCGCUUCCCUUCGGGCUGGCCACCGACUGGCGAAGUCGGCACAUGUCCCACAUAUGGCGUUCGUGGUGUUCAUAACGCGGACAAUUUUGCCAAUAUCAGGGUCUCGAGAGCGCAU